GGACUCAUCCAUAUUUUGUGAUUCAUCUCAGCAGCAUGGCGCAGGGAAAGUUGAAAGUGAAGACCAAACUUCCAGCCGGCGCUAAGAAGCAGAAACAGCGCCCGAAGAAGCCUUUAGGCCUCAAGAAAGGAACACGACAGAUUGCACCAAAAAAGAACAAGAUUGUUCAAGCAGUUAAGCUUCAAAAGGGUUUGGAGAAGGAACUCAGGAUGAACAUUGAGCAGGAGAUGAGCAGCAGAGCCAGCCAAGAGGGAAAACCGUUCACUGUAGCUGGUUUAAGCCAAGACUCAAGUUCAAAAGACUCCAACAAGAAAAAGUAACAGUCAGCAAGGUGAUGAGAGAAAGUUGAAAACAACUGUUUUAUGUUUGAAGUACAAAACUGCUACAUGUGCUGUGUAUUUUGUUUACGAAAGUUUACCUUCCUGUCAACAUACAGAUGAAUACACUUAGCUGUAAACUGUCCAAAAACAGCACAAAAACAUCAUGAACAAACUAAUGAUACUGUUUAACACAUGAUACAUGCAUAUCUAUAUGUGUCCACAGUAUUAUGAGGACUUCUAAGAAAUGAAUAUUGAAGUAUAUUGUCUAAGAUACAUAUUUUAUUUACCCACAAUUAAAUCAAGUACGGAACAAAACAGAAAAUUGCAGACUUUAAUUUAAACUGUGCAUACACUAAAUCACCAUUGGAGAACGCUAGCAGUAUUUGCUGGAUUCUGAUCCUCAGCAAGAGCCAAUGUGCCACUAAGGGAUACUUUGCCCCUUGAAAUAGGCACAUUUGACAUUGUACAAGACAUUGUACAAAUUGUGAAAUCUUGGAAAAUUAUGAUAAGUACAUGUACAUACACCUGAUACUAGUACCUAGGUGGGUAGACUGGUACUAGUAACUUACUAAAAGUACUACUAAGGUACGUGUAGGCAAGAGAAUGGAGCCAGAGUAGAACAUGCAAAUAUUUGAAAGAGCACAAUAAAUAUGAUGGAUGAUGUUGAUAAUGAAGAUCAGAUUGAUGUAUGUUUUGACAAGUAGUCUUUUCAUUAAAACUCAAGCUGUCCAGAGGCAAAAUCGUACAAUACACUCAGACAAUGUGAAAGGGAGAAGGCUUCCUUUGGGUGCAGAUGACCUUGGUGUCUGCCAAUACUGACCAUCCCUCCAUGUUCUUGAGAAAGCAGCAUAUGAAAUGAUAUCAGACAUGUUGGGUUUUAAUGUUCAAUAUUGACAGCUAAUAUCAGAAAUGGGUGGAGAAGGAAUAGUGUGCUAAUAAACCUAUAAAUCAUGUGUGGGAAACUAGGGAUCCAAUGAACGUAACUAUCAAUGAUUGAAAUCUGAAAAAGCCAACUAAACAGAAGCACAAUGGCAUC
Molecule: RNA transcript, 1356 nt
Organism: Branchiostoma belcheri (Belcher's lancelet)
Lineage: Eukaryota; Metazoa; Chordata; Leptocardii; Amphioxiformes; Branchiostomatidae
Gene name: UPF0390 protein zgc136864-like
Exons: 4
Source: RefSeq, a predicted model, not a curated record